RNAcentral lists this ribosomal RNA (755 nucleotides) under uncultured Prochlorococcus sp. Its description in RNAcentral is "SSU rRNA". It matches the Rfam family "Bacterial small subunit ribosomal RNA", at positions 56 to 858 of the family's 1533-position model. The record is from RNAcentral. Lineage: Bacteria; Bacillati; Cyanobacteriota; Cyanophyceae; Synechococcales; Prochlorococcaceae.
UGCAAGUCGACGAACCUUCGGGUUAGUGGCGGACGGGUGAGUAACGCGUGGGAAUCUGCCCUCAGGAGGGGGAUAACGGUUGGAAACGACCGCUAAUACCCCAUAUGCCGAGAGGUGAAAUGAAUUUCGCCUGAGGAUGAGCCCGCGUCUGAUUAGCUUGUUGGUGAGGUAAUGGCUCACCAAGGCAUCGAUCAGUAGCUGGUCUGAGAGGAUGAUCAGCCACACUGGGACUGAGACACGGCCCAGACUCCUACGGGAGGCAGCAGUGGGGAAUUUUCCGCAAUGGGCGAAAGCCUGACGGAGCAACGCCGCGUGAGGGACGAAGGCCUCUGGGCUGUAAACCUCUUUUCUCAAGGAAGAAGAUAUGACGGUACUUGAGGAAUAAGCCACGGCUAAUUCCGUGCCAGCAGCCGCGGUAAUACGGGAGUGGCAAGCGUUAUCCGGAAUUAUUGGGCGUAAAGCGUCCGCAGGCGGCCUUUCAAGUCUGCUGUUAAAGCGUGGAGCUUAACUCCAUCAUGGCAGUGGAAACUGAUAGGCUUGAGUAUGGUAGGGGCAGAGGGAAUUCCCGGUGUAGCGGUGAAAUGCGUAGAUAUCGGGAAGAACACCAGUGGCGAAGGCGCUCUGCUGGGCCAUUACUGACGCUCAUGGACGAAAGCCAGGGGAGCGAAAGGGAUUAGAUACCCCUGUAGUCCUGGCCGUAAACGAUGAACACUAGGUGUCGGGGGAAUCGACCCCUUCGGUGUCGUAGCUAACGC